RNAcentral lists this ribosomal RNA (399 nucleotides) under Tetratrichobothrius flavicaudis. RNAcentral's name for it is "Euscorpius flavicaudis partial 16S ribosomal RNA". It matches the Rfam family "Bacterial large subunit ribosomal RNA", at positions 1959 to 2595 of the family's 2925-position model. Lineage: Eukaryota; Metazoa; Arthropoda; Arachnida; Scorpiones; Euscorpiidae. The record is from RNAcentral.
GCAUAAUCAUUAGUCUUGUAAUUUAGGACUGGAAUGAAUGGUUUAACUGAGUACUCCUGUCUUAUUAUUAUACUUCAAAUUUUAUAUUUUAGUAAAAAAGCUAAAAUUCUUAUUAAAGACAAGAAGACCCUAUCAAGCUUUAUAAUUAAAAUCUAACAUCAACAUAGUUAAAAAAUUAUUUUACUGGGGCAGUAAAUAAAUAAAAUUUUAUUUAUAUAAUGUGAGAGCAACUCUUGAAAAAUCAAAAAUUUCUUAAGAAGGAACAAGUUACUGUAGGGAUAACAGCAUAAUUUUCUUUAAGAGUCCUUAUCAUCAAGAAAGUUUGUGACCUCGAUGUUGGAUUAAGAGCCCUGUUUCAUGCAAUAAUAAAAUAAGGGAGUCUGUUCGACUUUUAAAUUC